This 793-nucleotide ribosomal RNA is filed under the name uncultured bacterium. Its description in RNAcentral is "bacterial SSU rRNA". It matches the Rfam family "Bacterial small subunit ribosomal RNA", at positions 104 to 913 of the family's 1533-position model. The record is from RNAcentral.
GGGUGAGUAACACGUAAGUAAUCUACCUUCGAGUGGGGAAUAACGUUCGGAAACGAACGCUAAUACCGCAUAAUGCAGCGGCAUCGCAAGAUGACAGUUGUUAAAGAUUUAUCGCUUGAAGAGGAGCUUGCGGCGAAUUAGCUAGUUGGUAAGGUAAUGGCUUACCAAGGCAACGAUCUGUAUCCGGUCUAAGAGGACGGUCGGACACACUGACACUGAAUAACGGGUCAGACCCCUACGGGAGGCAGCAGUCGGGAAUUUUGGGCAAUGGGCGAAAGCCUGACCCAGCAACGCCGCGUGAAGGAUGAAGUUUUUCGGAAUGUAAACUUCGUAAGAAUAGGAAGAAUAAAUGACGGUACUAUUUGUAAGGUCCGGCUAACUACGUGCCAGCAGCCGCGGUAAUACGUAGGGACCAAGCGUUGUUCGGAUUUACUGGGCGUAAAGGGCGCGUAGGCGGCAAUUCAAGUCAGCUGUGAAAUCUCCGGGCUUAACUCGGAACGGUCAGCUGAUACUGCUUUGCUAGAGUGCAGAAGGGGCAAUCGGAAUUCUUGGUGUAGCGGUGAAAUGCGUAGAUAUCAAGAGGAACACCUGAGGUGAAGACGGGUUGCUGGGCUGACACUGACGCUGAGGCGCGAAAGCUAGGGUAGCAAACGGGAUUAGAUACCCCGGUAGUCCUAGCCCUAAACGAUGAAUACUUGGUGUCUGGAGUUUUUAUCCUCCGGGUGCCGUCGCUAACGUUUUAAGUAUUCCGCCUGGGGAGUACGCACGCAAGUGUGAAACUCAAAGGAAUUGA